AUUGAACGCUGGCGGCAUGCCUAACACAUGCAAGUCGAGCGGAUGAAGGGAGCUUGCUCCUGGAUUCAGCGGCGGACGGGUGAGUAAUGCCUAGGAAUCUGCCUUGUAUUGGGGGAUAACGUCCGGAAACGGGCGCUAAUACCGCAUAGGUCCUGAGGGAGAAAGUGGGGGAUCUUCGGACCUCACGCUAUCAGAUGAGCCUAGGUCGGAUUAGCUAGUUGGUGGGGUAAAGGCCUACCAAGGCGACGAUCCGUAACUGGUCUGAGAGGAUGAUCAGUCACACUGGAACUGAGACACGGUCCAGACUCCUACGGGAGGCAGCAGUGGGGAAUAUUGGACAAUGGGCGAAAGCCUGACCCAGCAAUGCCGCGUGUGUGAAGAAGGUCUUCGGAUUGUAAAGCACUUUAAGUUGGGAGGAAGGGCAGUAAGUUAAUACCUUGCUGUUUUGACGUUACCAGCAGAAUAAGCACCGGCUAACUUCGUG
This 484-nucleotide ribosomal RNA is filed under the name uncultured bacterium. RNAcentral's name for it is "partial 16S ribosomal RNA". It matches the Rfam family "Bacterial small subunit ribosomal RNA", at positions 30 to 507 of the family's 1533-position model. The record is from RNAcentral.